AAGACUAUAUUUCAUUUACUAAAAGUCAAAACUCAAAACAAACUAUUCAACAGAAAGUGCAUGACGCUUAUGAGAUAUUCAACACAUCAUCUUCGUCAAACACAUUUGAAUCCACUUGUGACAAGGUUGUCUUAACAUCUUCACUUUCAUCUAUAUCCACGAUUCAUAUGCAAAAUUAAUUAGUUGAAUAUUAAAAAUAAUUAAAUUUUAAAAACUAAUAAUAUUUAAAUGCACAUAAAAAAUAUUACCAGUUUGAGUUUGGGAAAAAUCGUGCAGCCAAUUUCGAGUAGUAACAAGUGUUUGGACAUUUUAAUGAUGGAUACAACUUCUGUACUUUGUGAGAACACGCCCAUCAAUGCUAAGUGCUGAUUCUGAUGCUAUAGUGGUAAUAGGAAUAUUUAAGUACAUCAUGCGCCAUCACUGAAAGAUCUGGAUAUUGUCUAGAUUGGUCCUUCCAAUACAUGACAACAUCCAUCUCUUGAAACUUCUCAUGAUCAAGUUUUGAUUCCUCUAAGUAAGGAUCCCAUUCUGACUCUCCAUCACUUGUGACGAUCCGGCCAGUCGUCUCAUGAGUUACUGCUCCGUUUCCCCCAUUUCUGCUUCUUAUUGCUUUGUCUAAUGGUCCUAUAUGCAAUUGGGUUGGUUGGCUCGGGUUUGGAAAUGAAUUGGUAAGGUUUGAGACACUUAGGCUCUUUUGAGGAAGCUUAAGUUGGAAAAGUCAACCGGAUGUUGACUUAUAAAUUAGAGGGAUCGGAUGUGAGUUCCGAUGGUUCGGUUAGCUUCGGGAGGUGAUUUGGGACUUAGGAGCGUGAUCAGAAUGAGUUUUGGAGGUUCGGAGUAGAUUUAGGCUUGAAUUGGCGAAGUUGAUACUUUGGCGAUUUUUGGUUGGUAGGUGAGAUUUUGAUAUAGGGGUCGGAAUGGAAUUUCAAGAGUUGCAGUAGUUCCGUUGUUUCAUUUGGGAUGUGUGUGAAAUUUAGGUAUUUUGGACGUGGUUUGGUUGAGUUUUUUUUUAUCAAAAGCGGAAUUUAGAAGUUUUUGGAAUUCUUAGGCUUGAAUGCAAUGUAAUUUUGGUGUUUUGAUGUUGUUUUGGGAGUUCCGAGGGUUGAAACAAGUUUGAAUGAGGCUAUGGGAUAUGUUGGCAUGUUUGGUUGGGGUCCUGAGGGCCUCGGGUGAGUUUCGAAGGGUUGAACGAAUCAUUUUAAGUUAAAGAAAAGUUGCAGAUUUUGGUUUUAACCGUUGCAGGUAUUUUGUUCUUCGCUUUCGCGAGUGAACCCUCGCGUUCACGAAGGGUCAGGAAGGGAGGCAUCAGGAUUGGCCUUCGCGUUCGCGAGGGGGAGUCCCGCAUUCGCGAAGGGCCGGAAUGGGAAGCAUCACGUUCGCGAGAGGCUUGACCGUGUCCGCGAAGGUUGGUGAAGUUGAGGCAUCGUGUUCACGAUGGUGCGAUCACGUUCGCGAAGGAGACUUUUGGUCAAUGGAAUUUUGUGCUUCGCGAACGCGAGGCUAUGACCGCGUUCGCGAAGAAGGAUUUCUGAUCGCUGGGCAGAAUGUUUAAAGGCCAUUUUCGCGAGUUUUGGCCUAAGUCCACCAUUUUUUACUCGGUUUUGAGGCUUUAUGAGAGAGAUUGGAGAGGGAAUCAAGGAGGACUUGUUGGAAGUAAGAAUUUUGGACUUAAAACUCGAUUCUAAUGUGAAAUCUACCUAAUAAAUCAUGGAAUCUAAGCUUAAAAUUGAGGAAUUAGGGCUUGGGAUUAAGAGACUUUAAAAUGAGAAUUUGAGGGGUCAUUUGGACUCCGAUUUUAGUAUUCUUAGUAUGUAUAGACUCGUGGGAGGAUAAGGAUUCCGUUGAUGUGAUUUUUAUCAAGUUUCGAGACGUGGGCCCAGGGGUCGGGUUUGGCCUAUUUCGAGAUUUUUGGUAUAAUUUGAUUAUUUUCGCUUGGGCUUCGUUCCCUAUGCAUAUUUUGAUGCCGUGAUUCUGAUUUUGGAUAGAUUCAACACGAGUGUAGGCCUAUUCGAAGGGCAAAGGCGCCGUAGAGUAGUAUUUUCUCCGGUUUGAGGUAGGUAACAAUUGUAAAUCUGGAACUGAGGGUAUAAAACCCCGAUAUUUGACUUAUUUUGAUAAUUGCAGUGACGCACAUGCUAGGUGACGAGCGUGUGGGCGUGCACCAGUAGGGAUUGUGACUUAGUCCAUCUCGUAGCAACUAUUAAGCUGCGUAUCUGAUUUGGAACCUUAUGAUAUUCCGUACUUUAGUCAUUUAUACUAUAUUAUGGGUUGUAUGCCAUAUUUGCGGCCUUGUGCAGACCUGUUGAGACCCUUAGGGGCAUUUUUACUAUUUUUCCUCACUCUACUUGUUGAAAGCAUAUCCCCAAUCAUGUUUUACCUAUUUGAAUGUUUAAAGCUGGUUUUAUCACUCUAUCUCUAAAUGUGAGGACUGUUUGGACGGAGUUCCCUAUUUUCUACUAUUGUGCCCGAGAGGCUGUGAGGUUAAUGACUGAGAGAAGUUGAGAACCUAAUGGCGAGGACAUUUAUAUAUGUAUGAGUUAUGGAUCGGGUUGCACGGUGCAUCGAUACUUAUAUGGAUCGGGUUGCACGUCGCAUCCAAUAUAUUGGAUCGGGCUGCGCGUCGCAGCGAUAUGACACUUGGGCUGUAGGAGCCCAUCCGGAGUCUGUACACCCCCAGUGAGCGUAGUCGACUAUAAACUAUGGAUUGGGCUGCACGCCGCAGUGGUUACUAUGAUUUCUAUUAUUAUGAGAUAUUAAUGAGCCUGAGUGCUGAGAGUGAGUACUGAGUGAUGAGAGUUGAGUCACGAGUGACUGAGAGGCUGCCCGAGAGGCCAUAUUCUGAGUGACACCUUGCCCGAGGUGCCCAAUUAUGAUAUUGUCACUGAUUCCACUCUUCUUUUAAAAUAAGUUUCUGUUGCAAAAAUUGUUAAGUAUAUGGUUUCAAGUAUUUAAAUUGAAAUUGAUGACUUUACGACGACACUGCUUUUAAACUGUGAAGUUAAUCUGUUAUCCCAUUGUUCAUUUAUUUAUAUGAUUUUUAACUACUCGUCACUGUUUUUUGACCAUAUUUACUUUAGUUACUUACUGAGUUAGCGUACUCACGUUACUCCCUGCACCGUGUGUGCAGAUCUAGGUGCCCGGGCAGUAGAGUGAGGGUCCUCAGCAUUAGCAGAGUUUGUCGGAGACUGCAAGGUAGCUACAUGGCAUCCGCAGCCCUGCUUUCUUCCUCUAUCCUUGUUUUUCCGCAUUUUAGACUUGUUUUGUAUCAAACAGUCAAAUUUUUAUAUGCUAGAGGCUCUAGACUUGUGACACCAGAUGGUUGGGCUGUGUUGGUUUAACAUUGUAUUGAUUUUCGCACAUUAUGGCUGUUUUAUGUACUUCUUAUGAAAAAUUGAGGUUUUAAACUUGUGUUAGAAAAAUGGUUUUAAAAAAGGAAUUUGUUGUAGUUAAUGGUUUGGGUUGGCUUGCCUAGUAAUGUGAUAGGCGCCAUCAUGACCGGAUAUUUGAGGUCGUGACAAGUUGGUAUCAGAGCCUAGGUUACAUAGGUCUCGUGAGUCAUGAGCCGGUUUAGUAGAAUCUCGCGGAUCGGUAUGGAGACAUCUGUACUUAUCCUCGGGAGGCUGUAGGACCUUUAGGAAAAACUUCAUACUCUUGAAAUUCUUGUCGUGUGAAUCUGUUGAUCCGAGUACUAAACUUCUGUUAUUCCAUUCUCUCACAGAUGGUGAGGACACGUGCUACCGGGAAGGAUGGAUGACCACCAGUACCACCAGCUGGGGCUACUAGAGGCCGACGACACGGUCGAGGUCGUGGUAGGGGCAGAGCAGCUAAGGUAGCACCUGCAGAUCCACCAACUGCCCCAGUUCAAGAUCAGGUCCAAGAUGUGGACGCUACAACAACACUAGCUCAGGCACCCACCGUGCCUAUUGCGGUUCUAGGCCUCUAGGAGGCUUUAGCUCAGAUCUUGUCAGUGUGUACCGAUUUGGCUCAGGCGAUCUUAGUUACUACGGCCGCAGCUAGUUCUCAGGCCGGGGGAGGCACCCAGAUUCCCAUUGCUCGCACACCAGAGUAGGUUGUGUAGGGACUCCAAACACCGGGGGCACUCCAGCCCAGCCGGUUGCACCAGCUCAGGAGUAUAUGGUACCAGUUAUGCCAGACGACAAGCAUCGUCGACUAGAGAGGUUUGGCAGACUUCAACCUCCAACUUUCAACGGGGCAGAGGGCGAGGAUGCUUGGAUAUUUGCUAGAGGAUGCUUCGUACAACAGGUAUUCUAGAGACUAGUGGUGUAGCUUUUACCAUCUUUCAGUUUUCUGGGGCUGCCUUCACUAGGUGGGAGGUGUAUGAGAGGCGUAGGCCUGUUGGUGCAGCGCCCCUUACAUGGCAACAGUUCUCUGUUAUCUUUCUGGAGAAGUAUGUGCCACAGUCUCGCGAGAGGAGCUGCGCAGGCAGUUCUAGCAGUUGCGUUAGGGAGAUAUGACUGUGACAUAGUAUGAGAUACGGUUCUCUAAGUUAUCUUGUCAUGUGGUCUGGUUGGUUCCGACAGAUAGAGAAAUGAUUAUGAGGUUUGUUGAUGUUCUCACAUAUCAGCUUUAGAUUCUCAUGAUUAGGGAGAGGGUGACAGGUGCUACUUUUGAGGAGGUUGUUGACAUCGCCUGUGAGAUUGAGUCGGUUCAGGAGCGAGAGGAGAGGGAGGCCAAGAGGCCUCAGGGAUCUAGUAGCUUUAGUAGUGCCCCUUUGAGGGGUCAGUUCCAGCAGGGCAGAUGCCGUCCAUUCAGGCAGGCUCAUUCAGCUCGCCCAGGUUAUAGUGGGGCAUCGUCGAGUCAUGGUUCUCACAGUUCUCAUCAGGGCCACUCAUCACUCAAUGCCUUUCCAGCCCAUAGUUCGUCCCGUGCUCCAUUAGUUCAGGGUUCUUCCAUGCCAGGUCCUUCUACUGGUCAUUCCAGUGUCAGGGGUUCCUUUCAGUCCCCAUCUCCAUUACCGAGGAGUUGUUAUGAGUGUGGAGAGUUUGGGCAUAUGAGGAGGCAGUGUCCUCAUCUUUAUGAUGGUCCCUCUCAGCAGAGCGGUCAACCCUCAACUUCAGCUUUAGUUACUUCACCACCCGCCCAGCCAACUAGGGGUAGAGGUUAGGCAGCUAGGGGUCGCCCUAGAGGGGGAGGUCGAUCAGGUGGUGGUCAGGCUUGUUUCUAUGCCCUCCCAUGUAGACCAGAUGNNNNNNNNNNNNNNNNNNNNNNNNNNNNNNNNNNNNNNNNNNNNNNNNNNNNNNNNNNNNNNNNNNNNNNNNNNNNNNNNNNNNNNNNNNNNNNNNNNNNNNNNNNNNNNNNNNNNNNNNNNNNNNNNNNNNNNNNNNNNNNNNNNNNNNNNNNNNNNNNNNNNNNNNNNNNNNNNNNNNNNNNNNNNNNNNNNNNNNNNNNNNNNNNNNNNNNNNNNNNNNNNNNNNNNNNNNNNNNNNNNNNNNNNNNNNNNNNNNNNNNNNNNNNNNNNNNNNNNNNNNNNNNNNNNNNNNNNNNNNNNNNNNNNNNNNNNNNNNNNNNNNNNNNNNNNNNNNNNNNNNNNNNNNNNNNNNNNNNNNNNNNNNNNNNNNNNNNNNNNNNNNNNNNNNNNNNNNNNNNNNNNNNNNNNNNNNNNNNNNNNNNNNNNNNNNNNNNNNNNNNNNNNNNNNNNNNNNNNNNNNNNNNNNNNNNNNNNNNNNNNNNNNNNNNNNNNNNNNNNNNNNNNNNNNNNNNNNNNNNNNNNNNNNNNNNNNNNNNNNNNNNNNNNNNNNNNNNNNNNNNNNNNNNNNNNNNNNNNNNNNNNNNNNNNNNNNNNNNNNNNNNNNNNNNNNNNNNNNNNNNNNNUUUAUCACCAGUUGAAGAUCAGGGACUCAGAUAUUCUUAAGAAAAUUUUUAGGACCCGAUAUGGUCAUUAUGAGUUCUUGAUGAUGUCUUUUGGGCUGACCAAUGCCCCAGUAGCGUUCAUGCAUUUGAUGAACAGCGCGUUCCGGCCUUAUCUCAAUUCGUUUGUCAUAGUCUUCGUUGAUGAUAUUCUGGUGUAUUCGCGUAGUGAGGAGGAGCACGCGGAGCAUUUGAGAGUUGUGUUGCAGAGAUUGAGGAAGGAGGAGCUUUAUGCAAAAUUCUCCAAGUGUGAGUUUUGGCUCAGUUCAGUGGCUUUCUUAGGGCACGUGGUGUCCAACGAGGAUAUUCAGGUUGAUCCGGAAAAGAUAGAGGCGGUUCAGAGUUGGCCCAGACUGUCCUCAGCCACAGAGAUUCGCAGCUUUCUUGGUUUGGCAGGCUAUUAUUGCCGGUUUGUUCAGGGAUUCUCAUCUGUCGCAUUGCCCUUGACCAAGUUAACUUAGAAGGGUGCUUUAUUUGUAUGGUCGGACGAGUGUGAGGAGAUCUUUCAGAAGCUCAAGACAACUUUGACCACAGAUCCAGUAUUAGUUUUGUCAUGAGCUUUAGGUCCAUAUACCGUGUAUUAUGAUGCUUCGAGAGUUGGUAUUGGUUGUGUAUUGAUGCAGGAGGGUAGAGUUAUUGCUUAUGUUUCUCAUCAAUUGAAGCCCCAUUAGAAGAACUACCCCAUUCACGAUUUGGAGUUGGCUGUCAUAGUUCACGCGUUGAAGAUUUGGAAGCAUUACUUGUAUGAUGUGUUUUGCGAGGUGUUUACUGAUCAUCGUAGCCUCCAACACUUAUUCAAAUAGAAAGAUCUCAAUUUGAGGCAACGAGGGUGGUUGGAGUUGCUUAAGGAUUAUGAUAUCACUAUAUUGUACCAUCCGGGGAAGACCAAUGUGGUGGCCGAUGCUUUGAGCCGAAAGACGGUGAGUAUGGGGAGUUUGGCAUAUAUUCCAAUUGGGGAGAGACCUCUUGCAGUUGAUGCUCAGGCCUUGGCCAAUCGGUUCAUGAGGUUAGAUGUUUCGGAGCCCAGUCGGGUAUUGGCUUGCAUGGUUUCUCGGUCUUCAUUAUAUGAUCGCAUCAUAGAGCGCCAGUAUGAUGAUCCGCAUUUUCUUGUCCUUAAGGAUAGAGUUCAGCAUGAUGAUGUAAGAGAUGCGACUAUAGGUGAUAAUGGGGUGUUGAGGAUGCAGGGCCAGAUAUACGUGCCCAAUUUGGAUGGGCUUCGGGAGUUUAUUCUGGAGGAGGUCCAUAGCUCGCGGUAUUCCAUUCAUCCCGGUGCCACGAAGAUGUAUCAGGAUUUGAGGCAACAUUAUUGGUGGAAAAAAAUGAAGAAAGACAUUAUGUGAUUUGUAGCUCGGUGUCUCAAUUGUCAGCAGGUGAAAUAUGAGCAUUAGAGACCGGGUGGCUUGCUUCAGCAGAUGGAUAUUCUAGAGUGGAAGUGGGAGAGGAUCACAAUAGACUUUGUAGUUAGACUUCCACGGACUUUAAGGAAGUUCGAUGCUAUUUGGGUGAUCGUGGAUCGGCUGACCAAGUUCGCGCACUUCAUUCCUCUGUGUACUACCUAUACUUCAUAAUGGUUGGCAAAGAUCUAUAUCCUGGAGAUUGUUCGUUUGCAUGGUGUCCUAGUUUCCAUCAUUUCGGAUAGGGGAACUCAGUUUACCUCGUAGUUUUGGAGGUCUGUGCAGCGAGAGUUGGGUACUCAGGUCGAGUUGAGUACAACUUUUCACCCUCAGACGGACGGGCAGUCCGAGCGCAUUAUUCAGAUAUUUGAGGACAUGUUGCGUGCUUGUGUCAUUGAUUUCAAAGGGUCAUGGGAUUAGUUUCUACCGUUUGCAGAGUUUUCUUAUAACAACAACUACCAGUCGAGUAUUCAGAUGGCUCCGUAUGAGGCUUUGUAUGGGAGGUGGUGUAGAUCUCCAAUUGGUUGGUUCGAUCCCGGUGAGGCUAGGCUAUUGGGGACAGACCUGGUGCAGGAUGCUUUAGAAAAGGUGAAGGUAAUUCAGGAGAGGCUUCGUAUCGCACAGUCAAGGCAAAAGAGUUAUGCUGACAGGAAGGUUCGAGAUGUGUCUUACAUGGUUGGCAAAAAGGUUCUGUUGAAGGUUUCGCCCAUGAAGGGUGUUAUGAGAUUUGGAAAGAAAGGUAAAUUGAGUCCUCGGUUCAUUGGGCCUUUUGAGGUGCUUCAGAUGAUUGGGGAGGUGGAUUAUGAGCUUGCUUUGCCACCCAGCUUGUCGAGUAUGCAUCCGGUAUUUUAUGUUUCUAUGCUCCGGAAGUAUAUUGGGGAUCCGUCUCAUGUUCUGGAUUUUAGCACGGUUCAGUUAGAUGAUGAUUUGACCUAUGAUGUGGAGCCAAUAGCUAUUUCGGGUCAUCAGGUUCGAAAGUUGAGGUCAAAGGAUAUAGCUUCAGUGAAAGUGCAGUGGAGAGGUCAGCCCGUGGAAGAGGCUACCUGGGAGACCAAGCGGGAGAUGUGGAGCAAAUAUCCUCACCUGUUUGAGGCUUCAAGUAUGUUUCUUGACUUGUUCGAGGAUGAACGUUUGUUUAAGUUGGGGAGGACGUGAUGACCCAGCCAGUCGUCUCAUGAGUUACCGCUUCAUUUCCCCCAUUUCUGCUUCUUAUUGCUUUGUCUAAUGGUCCUAUAUGCGAUCGGGUUGGUUAGCUCAGGUUCGGAAAAGAAUUGGUAAGGUUCAAGACACUUAGUCUCUUUUGAGGAAGCUUAAGUUGGAAAAGUCAUCCGGAUAUUGAUUUAUGAGUUAGAGGGCUCAGAUGGGAGUUCCGAUGGUUCGGUUAGCUUCAGAAGGUGAUUUGGGACUCAGGAGCGUGAUCGGAAUGAGUUUUGGAGGUUCGGAGUAGAUUUAGGCUUGAAUUGACGAAGUUGAUAUUUUGGCGAUUUCCGGUUGGUAGGUGAGAUUUUGAUAUAGGGGUCGAAAUGGAAUUCCGAGAGUUGUAGUAGUUCAAUUGUGUCAUUUGAGAUGUGUGUGCAAAAUUUCAGGUCAUUCAGACGUGGUUUGGUCGGGUUUUUUAUCAAAAGCGGAAUUUAGAAGUAUUUGGAAUUCUUAGGCUUGAAUCCAAUGUAAUUUUGGUGUUUUGAUGUUGUUUUGGGAGUUCCGAGGGUUGGAACAAGUUUAAAUAAGGUGAUGGGAUAUGUUGGCAUGUUUGGUUGGGGUCCCGAGGGCCUCGGGUGAGUUUCAGAGGGUUGAACGGAUCAUUUUAAGUUAAAGAAAGGUUGCAGAUUUUGGUUUCAGUUGUUGCAGGUAUUUUGUUCUUCGCGUUCGCGAAGGGUCAGGAAGGGAGGCAUUAGGAUUGUCCUUCGCGUUCGCGAGGGUGAGUCCCGCAUUCGCGAAGGGCUGGAAUGGGAAGCAUCGCAUUCGCGAGAGGCCUGACCGCACUCGUGAAGGUUGGUAAAGCUGAGGCAUUGCGUUCGCGAUGGUGCGAUCACGUUCACGAAGGAGAGUUUUGGUCAAUGAAAUUUUUGUUCUUCGCGAACGCGAGGCUUUAACCGCGUUCGCGAAGAAGGAUUUCUGAUCACUGGGCAAAAUGUUUAAAAGGUCAUUUUCGCGAGUUUUGCCCUAAGUCCACCAUUUUUUACUCGGUUUUGAAGCUUUUUGAGAGAGAUUGGAGAGGGAAUCAAGGAGGACUUGUUGGAGGUAUGAAUUUUGGACUUAAAACUUGAUUCUAAUGUGAAAUCUACCUAAUAAAUCAUGGAAUCUAAGCCUAAAAUUGAGGAAUUAAGGCUUGAGAUUAAGAGACUUUAAAAUGAGAAUUUGAGGGGCCAUUUGGACUACGAUUUCAGUGUUCUUGGUAUGUAUGGACUCGUGGGAGGAUAAAGAUUCCAUUGAUGUGAUUUUUAUCUAGUUUCAAGACGUGGGCCCGGGGGUCGGGUUUGGCCAAUUUCGAGAUUUUUGGUAUCAUUUGAUUAUUUUCGCUUGGGCUUCGUUCCUUUAGCAUAUUUUGACGCCGUGAUUCUGAUUUGGAUAGAUUCGAUGCGAUUGGAGGCCGAUUCGAGGGGCAAAGGCAUCGCGGAAUAGUAUUUCACCGGUUUGAGGUAAGUAACCAUUGUAAAUCUAGAACUGAGGGUACAAAACUCAGGUAUUUGAUUUAUUUUGAUAAUUGUGGUGACGCAUAUGCUAGGUGAUGAGCGUGUGGGUGUGCACCAGUAGGGAUUGUGACUUGGUCCACCCCUUAACGACUAUUAAGCCGCGUAUUUGAUUUGAAACCUUAUGAUAUUCUUUACUUUAGUCAUUUAUACUGUAUUAUGGGUUAUAUGCCAUGUUUGGGGCCUUGUACCGACCUGUUGAGACCCUUAGGGGUAUUUUUACUAUUUUUCCUCACUCUACUUGUUGAAAGCAUAUCCUCAAUCAUGUUUUACCUGUUUAAAUGUUUAAAAUUGGUUUUAUCACUCUACUUCUAAAUGUGAGGACUGUUUGGACUGAGUUCCCUAAUUUCUAUUGUUGUGCCCGAGAGGCUGUAAGGUUAAUGACGGAGAGAAGUUAAGAACCUAAUGGUGAGGACAUUUAUAUAUGUAUGAGUUAUGGAUCGGGCUGCACACCGCAACGAUACAUUUAUGAAUCGGGCUGCAUGCCGUAGCGAUAUUUAUAUGAAUCGGGCUGCACGCCGCAGUGAUAUAUAUAUAUAUAUAUAUAUAUGUCGGAAGGGGCGGCGCGGCGCAGCGAUAUGACGCUUGGGCUGUAGGAGCCCCUCCGGAGUCUAUACACCCCUAGUGAGCAUAGUCAACUAUAAACUAUGGAUCGGGUUGCAUGCCGCAACGGUUACUAUGAUUUCUAUUAUUAUGAGAUAUUAAUGAGCCUAAGUGCUGAGAGUGAGUACUGAGUGACGAGAGUUGAGUCACGAGUAACUGAGAGGCUUUCCGAGAGGCCAUAUUCUAAGUGACACCUUGCCCGAGGGGCCCAGUUAUGAUAUUGUCACUGAUUUCACUCUUCUUUUGAAAUAAGCCUUCGUUGGAAAAAUUGCUAAGUAUAUGGUUUCAAGUAUUUAAACUGAAAUUGAUGACUUUACGACGAAAUUGGUUUUAAACUGUGAAGUUGAUCUGUUAUCCUGUUGUUCAUUCAUUUAUAUAAUUGAGGACAUAACAAUGAAGACAGUACCACUUUAGUUUGGUAUUAUUCCUGUCACACCUUCUUUUUCCUACACUCCCGGAAGGAGUGUAUAAGAGAGUUUUUUCCAACUUAAAGUGACAAUCGAAACGAGAUUAUUUAUUUAUUAAAUUCAGAGUCGCCACUUAGGAUAAUUUAUGAUGUCCCAAGUCACUGGUUUAAAUCCUGAAUCGAGGAAAAGAUUGACUCUAUAUUACAGUCUGCGAACCAGAAAUCCGGAUAAGGAAUUCUGUUAACUCGGGAGAAGGUGUUAGGUAUUCCCGAGUUCUGUGGUUCUAGCAUGGUCGCUCAACUAUUAGAAUUGGCCUAUUUACUUUAUUUUAGUACAUAUUUUAACCUAUGGUACAAUUUUAAUUUUAUAACCACUUUUACUUAACUAUUUUUAGGAGAAAGAUUCAACGUCAUCUAAAACAUGUCUUGAACUACGUCACAUAAAUGCACCCGCGGUCCAUGACAUAUUUUAUUCAACGUUGUUUGAGAUUUGGAUUUGGGUCACAUAAAUGCACACCCGAAUUGAGAUUCACGUAUCGUAACCAUGCCACGGGAACUGUAUCCAUGGCCACGAUAAUUUAUUAAGAACUUGCCUAAGGCAUGCUAAUAAUUUUGGAAUCAGUAAUUAUUUAUUAUGAACUACAUGAACAAAAUGGGCUAGCUACGUAUAUUUACAAUGCUUAGAUUAACUCCAACUAUUGUUAAGUUAGGCUAAAGGAUCAAUUAACUCAUUACUGAUCUUAUAUAAAUCGCUAUAUCCAUCUUAGCUCUAAUCCUUAAGGUUUCUUAUUUUCACCUUCAUAACCAAGCUUAAACAAAAUUUCCAAACCACAAAUUAAUAAAGAUAAGAACAGAAAAACUAAUUCCAUCAGCAACUCCAUUUUAAGCUAUUGUCAAGCAAACAUUUUAAACAUGCUUUAACUACAUUUUAAACAAAUUAUUUUAAGCUACUGUCAAGCAAACAUAACAUUCAUCCAAAAAUCAAGAUAGGCAAAUGAAAAAAAACCAUGGACACAAAUAGAUCACUUAACAGAGGAUAAGAAUUUGGCCUCGAUAAUAUUAACACAAAAUCAGUUACAACAAAUUUUGAUGAACUAAAUCUAACCCGGAAAUGCAACAGUAACAGGAGCUCGGACCGCAAACCCCAUAGGCAACCUCAAACUCAAACUCGCACUCUACGAUUUGAACACUGAAAUUCUGAAAUUCAAAUUAUUCGGAAGUGAAGGCAGUAGAAAAGAAUUCUUCAUUGUCAUGGACUAUUGGUUGGAUUAUGAAGUCCAUUCCUUGGGUACAUAUAGGCGACAAUUAUAUAUGACCCCAUUUGAGUUGCUUGCUUCAAUACAGUAGGGACACAUGAAUUGAAUGCUGACUAGGGAUUUUUUAAAGGAAGGAGCAUAACUUGUAUCAUAUCUACUUUGAUUAUGAUUUCACAAUUGAGCACUUUCAGUAAAAAUUGUAGAAAUUUCCCUUUAUCCCACAACCAAAUGAAACUGUUUCCUCAAAUUGUCGUUCUCCUCUACCGUCUCCGUGCUCUUGUGAGUGGAGUGACUUUUUUUAAUUCUUGAAAGGAAAGGACGAUGAAGAUCUGAAGUGGGAGGGGGUUCUUUUGUGUGUUGCGGCCGAUAUUUUUUUGUGUCCUCUAGGUCUAGAGUCUAGGGUGUAUUUAUAUACAUAGGAAGGGAUUUUAGAUUAAGGGGGUAUAGACUUGGUAUUAUUGGGCCUUAAAACUGGGCCAAAGAAAGAAAUAAAAUGGACUACUAUAUUAAAAUAGGACAAAUUAACCCAAGGCUAACUCUUCCUUCUAAAUAUAAUUUAUAAUAUAAAAAUUUAAAACUAGUCUUAAUCAAUUGAACCAAACUAUAUUAAAACAUGAAAUUAUUUUUUGUGUUUUCAAGAUUAUAUAUAAAAAUAAAGAUAAAGUACUAUUUUUGUAUAUUUUUAUAUUUAAUUUUAUGAAGGAUACGCAAACUAAAAUAUUUUUAUAAUUUUUAUUUUUUUUGGUUGACGAAAUAAAGUAAAAAAAGUCAAAAUUAGGUGAAAUAGCGAUUUUAGGCC
RNAcentral lists this long non-coding RNA (13016 nucleotides) under Nicotiana tabacum (common tobacco). RNAcentral describes it as "long non-coding RNA (NTAB_LNC010077)". Lineage: Eukaryota; Viridiplantae; Streptophyta; Magnoliopsida; Solanales; Solanaceae. The record is from RNAcentral.